UGAACGCUGGCGGCGUGCUUAACACAUGCAAGUCGAACGAUGAAGCCUUAGCUUGCUAAGGUGGAUUAGUGGCGCACGGGUGAGUAAUAUAUAGAUAAUGUGCCUCUUAGUCUGGGAUAGCCAUUGGAAACGAUGAUUAAUACUAGAUACUCCUUCUUAUUCUAAUAUAAGUUGGGAAAGUUUUUCGCUAAGAGAUCAGUCUAUAUCGCAUCAGUUAGUUGGUGGGGUAAUGGCCUACCAAGACAAUGACGCGUAGCGGGUUUGAGAGGAUGAUCCGCCACACUGGUACUGAGACACGGACCAGACUCCUACGGGAGGCAGCAGUGAGGAAUAUUGCACAAUGGGGGAAACCCUGAUGCAGCAACGCCGCGUGGAGGAUGACGCAUUUCGGUGUGUAAACUCCUUUUAUAUGUCAAGAAAAUGACGGUAGCAUAUGAAUAAGCACCGGCUAACUCC
This 456-nucleotide ribosomal RNA is filed under the name uncultured bacterium. RNAcentral describes it as "bacterial SSU rRNA". It matches the Rfam family "Bacterial small subunit ribosomal RNA", at positions 30 to 504 of the family's 1533-position model. The record is from RNAcentral.